RNAcentral lists this ribosomal RNA (253 nucleotides) under uncultured bacterium. RNAcentral describes it as "partial 16S ribosomal RNA". It matches the Rfam family "Bacterial small subunit ribosomal RNA", at positions 524 to 776 of the family's 1533-position model. The record is from RNAcentral.
UACAGAGGUCUCGAGCGUUAGGCGGAAUCACUGGGCUUAAAGCGUGUGUAGGCGGGUCGUUAAGUGCCUUGUGAAAUCCCAUGGCUCAACCAUGGAACUGCUGGGCAUACUGGCGAUCUUGUGCCACCUAGGGGCGAGCGGAACAGAUGGUGGAGCGGUGAAAUGCGUAGAUAUCAAGAGGAACACCUGCGGCGAAGGCGGGUUGCUGGGCCGACACUGACGCUGAGGCGCGAAAGCUAGGGGAGCGAACGGG